RNAcentral lists this ribosomal RNA (337 nucleotides) under uncultured bacterium. RNAcentral's name for it is "bacterial SSU rRNA". It matches the Rfam family "Bacterial small subunit ribosomal RNA", at positions 101 to 455 of the family's 1533-position model. The record is from RNAcentral.
AACGGGUGAGUAUAAUGUGGGAAUCUGCCUUUUGGUUUGGAAUAACACGGGGAAACUUGUGCUAAUACCGAAUAAGCCCUUACGGGGAAAGUUUUAACGCCGAAAGAUGAGCCCGCACUUGAUUAGCUAGUUGGUAAGGUAAAAGCUUACCAAGGCAACGAUCAAUAGCUGUUCUUAGAGGAAGACCAGCCACAUUGGGACUGAGACACGGCCCAGACUCCUACGGGAGGCAGCAGUGGGGAAUCUUGCACAAUGGGGGAAACCCUGAUGCAGCGAUGCCGCGUGAGUGAAGAAGGCCCUUGGGUUGUAAAACUCUUUCGUCGGGGAAGAAAAUGAC